UGAAUAGCUAACUGAAGUAGUCGGGAACUGAAUGGAAGUUCUUUUUUCGAUUAAGUGAUAGAAUCUAACAAUGAUAGAACUAUCUUUAAGUGUUGUCCAAGUUACUGGUGCCAGAAGACUCGGUAAGGCCAGAAACGCUAACGUUAGUCGUCAUAAACAGGCGUAAAGGGUAUGUAGGCAGCUUUGAAAGUUUAGACCUUUAACUGCUAUAUAGUAAUCUUUCUAAUAUAAUCAAAUCGCUUUUUUAGCCAUUUAUUAUAAAAAAAGAAGUUAAAAACUUAGACCCGCUCAAAGCUAGAAUCUUGAAGGAGGAUAAUACAAAUAAUACUUAGACGAGGGGUGAUAUCCUAAGACACUAGGUGGAAUACUAAAGGUGAAAGCUUUUUAUCUAACACAGAUUGACGCUGAGAUACGAAGGUGAGAAUAGGAAAUAGGAUUAGAUACCCAGAUACCUCUCACUGUCAACGAUGAAUGGUAAUCGGUAUUCUUUUUUAGGGUGCUGAUACAGCUAACGCGUUAACCAUUCCGCCUUGCGAAUACGGUUGCAAAACUAAAAGCAAAAAAAUUAGUCGGUUUCGGAGCA
RNAcentral lists this ribosomal RNA (583 nucleotides) under Cyathus striatus. RNAcentral describes it as "partial 12S ribosomal RNA". It matches the Rfam family "Bacterial small subunit ribosomal RNA", at positions 376 to 927 of the family's 1533-position model. Lineage: Eukaryota; Fungi; Basidiomycota; Agaricomycetes; Agaricales; Nidulariaceae. The record is from RNAcentral.